AGUGCUGCUAGCAACUACAAG
Molecule: microRNA, 21 nt
Filed under: Chlamydomonas reinhardtii
Lineage: Eukaryota; Viridiplantae; Chlorophyta; Chlorophyceae; Chlamydomonadales; Chlamydomonadaceae
Description: cre-miR1153-5p.2
Source: miRBase by way of RNAcentral